CCCAGUGUACAGCAGAAUGAGCCUCCUGUCACCAGCCCAGAGCUCUCAGACAGAAUUGAGUUCCUGUACAGUAGGACUUUCCACUCAUGUCUGUGGUCUAGGAGGAGAUUGGGUUGGGCAAACACCAGGCACGAUGGAGCAACCAUUAACCCUGGAGUUGUGAAGACAGGACCACAAGCUGAGAGAGGGCAGCAAUGGAAACCCAGCCAAACUAUUAAUGGAAGGCUGGGUCCCAUUCUUUAUUAUCCUUCUGUGGUCUCGUCACCAGCAGGGUGAGCCAAAGCCGAGGGCAAGAACACGCUGGGUGACCUUCCACACCCCAAAUGCAAGAUCAAGUGCUGUGGAGAAGGAGGUAAGCUGUGGCUCUUCAUUAAAGCAAAUAUCAUUAGACAUAUGUUCAAGAUAACAGAGUGUUUUGACCCCAGCAAGCAUUUGAACUGCAGUGAAAAUUCAUUUUCCUUCUCUGAGGGUACAGGAAGCAGAGAAUUUUUCCAGGACUAAAGCCACCAUUAUGAAUACGUAUUCCUCAAUAAUGAAACCUGUAUUAAUAAUUGAAUUAGUAAUUCAACAAAUAUUU
Molecule: long non-coding RNA, 577 nt
Filed under: Homo sapiens (human)
Lineage: Eukaryota; Metazoa; Chordata; Mammalia; Primates; Hominidae
Description: HSALNT0215477
Source: RNAcentral